Long non-coding RNA from Dermacentor silvarum, 269 nucleotides. RefSeq lists it as uncharacterized. The record is from RefSeq and is a predicted model, not a curated record. NCBI's taxonomy places the organism in Eukaryota, Metazoa, Arthropoda, Arachnida, Ixodida, Ixodidae. The transcript has 3 exons.
GCAGACGCUGCCGCCAGCACCAGCACCGUGUGCAGCAGUGACUGCACCAUUCCCAGCACCUCUGGUCUGGAUGGCAUUCCAGAGCGUGUGCCACUGCAAAGUCGCGGCGAUUACUUGCAGUUUGUUCUACCGUCGUUUGGCCCUUACGAGGACAUCUUACGAAGGAAAGUACCCAUAAGUGGCCGAGUUCGACGCGCCAUUACAGAUGGGCUAUUUCAAGCCUGUGUGAAGAUAGCGUGGCUGCCCAGUAAGCUGCUCUAUAGAACGGC